This 515-nucleotide ribosomal RNA is filed under the name uncultured bacterium. RNAcentral describes it as "partial 16S ribosomal RNA". It matches the Rfam family "Bacterial small subunit ribosomal RNA", at positions 28 to 523 of the family's 1533-position model. The record is from RNAcentral.
GAUGAACGCUGGCGGCGUGCCUAAUACAUGCAAGUCGAGCGAAUGGAUUAAGAGCUUGCUCUUAUGAAGUUAGCGGCGGACGGGUGAGUAACACGUGGGUAACCUGCCCAUAAGACUGGGAUAACUCCGGGAAACCGGGGCUAAUACCGGAUAACAUUUUGAACCGCAUGGUUCGAAAUUGAAAGGCGGCUUCGGCUGUCACUUAUGGAUGGGCCCGCGUCGCAUUAGCUAGUUGGUGAGGUAACGGCUCACCAAGGCAACGAUGCGUAGCCGACCUGAGAGGGCGAUCGGCCACACUGGGACUGAGACACGGCCCAGACUCCUACGGGAGGCAGCAGUAGGGAAUCUUCCGCAAUGGACGAAAGUCUGACGGAGCAACGCCGCGUGAGUGAUGAAGGCUUUCGGGUCGUAAAACUCUGUUGUUAGGGAAGAACAAGUGCUAGUUGAAUAAGCUGGCACCUUGACGGUACCUAACCAGAAAGCCACGGCUAACUACGUGCCAGCAGCCGCCGUAA